This is a long non-coding RNA of Drosophila ananassae, 2317 nucleotides long. RefSeq lists it as uncharacterized. The transcript is spliced from 2 exons. Lineage: Eukaryota; Metazoa; Arthropoda; Insecta; Diptera; Drosophilidae. The record is from RefSeq and is a predicted model, not a curated record.
UUAUUUCUGAAUUUUAUAUAUUUUUCAGAGUCUGAACUUUAUAAUUUAGAAUUAAAAUUGAUUUCAUUUUUAUUUUAUAUCAUUUAAAAGAAAGAAAGAAUAGAAAACUAUUUUAGUCUUGGGUAUAUUUUUUUGAUUCCAUCAGAAUCACAAAAACCUACAACAUUUCUAUGUAACCAAUAUGAGCAGAAAAGAAAAAGGAAAACAUUUGAGAAGAAAAUUAAAUAAAUGUAUUGUAUAUUCAGGAAUUGAUAAAUUAGUGAAUAAUCUGAAGAGAAAAAAAUCCAAAAAUCUAAACAAAAAAGAAAAGAAAUAUAAGAACUAUUUACCUAGGACCUAGUUGCUCCUAAUUUUUUUGGAUGUUGUGUAGAUUUGUGUGAACCACCGCAUGAAAAAAACCACCAAUCUUGAAGAUAAACUAAGAGAAAAAACAAUCCCAUAGACUAUCACGAGAAGAGUAAAGAAUCAUUUUCAAAAAAAAUCAAUUACCAAAUACCAAUUACCAAGUGGAAAUGCUCAGGUGUUUUUUCGAAUCAAGCUUGUUCUUCCCCCGAAAGCCCCCCAAAGAAUUCAAAAAAAGUUGACAAAUAUACCAAAGUACCUAAAAAAAACAUAAAGGGAAUGAAAAGUUUGAAGAAAGAGGGAAAUUUUAGAUUAAGAGGAACCAAAAAAAAAAAAAAGAAACAAAAAGGGAAUUAAAAUCCAGCAGUUGAAUGAUAAGGAAAAUAAAUGGAAUAAAUCAACUAUUUUUGAACUUGACUUUGCUGCUUGCCCAGCCCAGCAAGUCAGCCAGGCUUUAGUUCGAGUAGCCACGCCCACAAUCAAAUGACCGCCCCUACCCACCCACCUCUCCGGAAAUCUCCCUCUUGAGAACUAAACUAAAUUUUAGAUAUUAAAGGCAAACUUUGAAAACUUUGAGAUUUCUUCAAUUCUAAUUUCCGGGUUGAAAACUAAAUAAAAAAAAGUUAGAAAAAAAAAUUGAAGAGAUCUAGAAAGCAGUUUUCUUUUUUUUUUUUUUAUAUAAGUCUUGAUGUUGUUAUUGCUUAUAUAAGAAAUGCAAGAAAUAUAAUAAUAUAUAAUAUAUAUAGGGAUAUAUCCUUUAGAUUGUAUAUAAAAAAAACUAAAAACUAUAAUUUAUUUUUCACUCAAUUAUACUGUUUUUAUUUUCGGGUUUGUGUUGGGAAAAAAAAUGAAAUCCUAAAGAAAAGCUGAAAAAGGGCGGAUUAAAUAUAUUUAAAUAUUAAAUAUAUCCUUGUAAACCUAUUCUGUCAUUUAAAAAAGUCGCUGGACGACGAAGAAAAUAAAAAAUGGAAUGAGAGAAGAUAAUAUAAAAUAUAAAUAAAAAAACUAUAACAUUUUUUUAUUAUUAAAAGCAUACAAAUAAAAAAAGAUAAUCAGAAUUAAAAAAUGGAAUGAUUUAAUGGGCCGAUGCUUGCUAAAUAAAUGAUUAUAAGAAUAUAAAUCAAAGGUAAAAGAUAUAUUUAUAGAAAUGAACUAUAUGUAUACAUACUGACAGAUUGAUUAAAUAUAUAUGGAUUAUAUAGUAACUUAUUGUCACAACGCAAGAGCAAUCAAUGUUUAACUUUAUUAAAUGUUACAAAGAGUUUUAAAUAUACAUAAAAAAUAAAAAUAAAAAUAAAUAAAUAUAUAUAUACAAGAAUACAUAUAUAUUACAGAUUAUAUUCUAUGUAUAAUUUGUAGGUACAAACUGAAAAUUAACAGAGAAAAUACUAGACGUACUUGUAGUUCUCGUCUACCCUUUAUUUUUUCCUAAAAAUUAGUCUUUCAAGGGGAAUAUGAUAGUAGUGCCAGCUAUAAAACGGAAUAAAUGGAGACAUUUUGCAGGAAAUGUUGGUGGAUUAUUAUUUUUUUUAAAUAUAAUUUUUAUAUUUAAAUUAUCAUAAAUUUUAAUUAUAAAUUUUAAUUUAAAUUAUCCUUAAAAACAAUGAACGAAAAGCUUCAUUUUCAAUAGAAUUCUUGUAUAAUUUCUUAAAAUUUCUUAAGCUGGCAUUUUACAAAAUUAUUUUCAAACUCCUUUGUUGUGUCUUAGCUUUAAAAAAUAAGAAAGAAAAAUUAAGAAACAAAAUAAAUGUGUGUGUCUCGCUCUCUCUCUAUCUAUCUGUCUCUAUUGUGUUUGAUAUUAAAUCAUAUAUUAAAAUGCAUAUUAUUACAAAAGCCAAAAAAACUGGAAGAAAGCUACAAAAGGCUAACAAAAAAAUGAAUCCACAACAAAAUUAAUAUUACUAAUUAUAACGAUUACUUACUGUAGCAUUAAGCAUAUAAAGAUUAAAUAAAGAAAACGAUUUCCUUAAAUGAA